Molecule: long non-coding RNA, 201 nt
Filed under: Elaeis guineensis (African oil palm)
Lineage: Eukaryota; Viridiplantae; Streptophyta; Magnoliopsida; Arecales; Arecaceae
Description: long non-coding RNA (EGUI_LNC056048)
Source: RNAcentral
UCCAUACGUCAACAGGUAGUGCUUGGUGACUUAGAGAUUGAAGAUCAAGGAGAAGAAGAAGAAGGUUGCUGAACAAGGAGUUGAUCCUACAGUGCAGAUCAAGGUGUUGAUUAAAGUAUUCAAGGCUAAGAUUCCUUUUGGGAAGAAGAAUCUUCUACGAGGAGAAAUCAGUUUGAGAUCGAUUCUGGUGGAUAUCCAUAG